RNAcentral lists this ribosomal RNA (455 nucleotides) under uncultured bacterium. RNAcentral describes it as "bacterial SSU rRNA". It matches the Rfam family "Bacterial small subunit ribosomal RNA", at positions 28 to 507 of the family's 1533-position model. The record is from RNAcentral.
GACGAACGCUGGCGGCGUGCUUAACACAUGCAAGUCGAACGGGAGUAUUGAAGAAGCUUGCUUUAGAGAUACUUUAGUGGCGGACGGGUGAGUAACGCGUGAGGAGCUGUCCUAUGCAGGGGGACAACAGCUGGAAACGGCUGCUAAUACCCCAUAAGCCGAGAGGUAAAAGGAUCAAUCCGGCAGAGGAGGUACUCGCGUCCUAUCAGCUAGUAGGUGAGGUAACGGCUCACCUAGGCGAAGACGGGUAGCCGGCCUGAGAGGGCGAACGGCCACACUGGAACUGAGAUACGGUCCAGACUCCUACGGGAGGCAGCAGUGGGGAAUAUUGGGCAAUGGGGGAAACCCUGACCCAGCGACGCCGCGUGGGCGAAGAAAUCCUUCGGGAUGUAAAGCCCUGUUGUAUGGGAAGAGCGGAAGACGGUACCAUACGAGGAAGCCCCGGAAACUACGUG